RNAcentral lists this ribosomal RNA (564 nucleotides) under Clonostachys sp. O_1_LILB_26_5l. RNAcentral describes it as "eukaryotic LSU rRNA". It matches the Rfam family "Eukaryotic large subunit ribosomal RNA", at positions 1 to 581 of the family's 3401-position model. Lineage: Eukaryota; Fungi; Ascomycota; Sordariomycetes; Hypocreales; Bionectriaceae. The record is from RNAcentral.
ACCUCAGAUCAGGUAGGAAUACCCGCUGAACUUAAGCAUAUCAAUAAGCGGAGGAAAAGAAACCAACAGGGAUUGCCCUAGUAACGGCGAGUGAAGCGGCAACAGCUCAAAUUUGAAAUCUGGCGCAAGCCCGAGUUGUAAUUUGUAGAGGAUGUUUCUGGCGACGCGCCUUCCGAGUUCCCUGGAACGGGACGCCAUAGAGGGUGAGAGCCCCGUACGGUUGGAUGCCUAGCCUCUGUGAAACUCCUUCGACGAGUCGAGUAGUUUGGGAAUGCUGCUCUAAAUGGGAGGUAUACGUCUUCUAAAGCUAAAUACCGGCCAGAGACCGAUAGCGCACAAGUAGAGUGAUCGAAAGAUGAAAAGCACUUUGAAAAGAGGGUUAAAAAGUACGUGAAAUUGUUGAAAGGGAAGCGUUCAUGACCAGACUUGGGCAGGUUGAUCAUCCGUGGUUCUCCGCGGUGCACUCUGCCUGCCCAGGCCAGCAUCAGUUCGCUCCGGGGGAUAAAGGCUCUGGGAAUGUGGCUCCUUCGGGAGUGUUAUAGCCCACUGCGUAAUACCCUGGGG